GGGGACAGAGAGGUCAAGAAAACUCCACUAACUCAAUCUUGAAAAUGAGUCAAAUAGGUUCAAAGCGAUCCAAACUACAAGUAUAGCUUCACAUAUACACGGUGAAUAUUUGUUCAAAAGAUCUUCCAAAGAAGAUCAAGAUGUCACCAUGUAUUUCAUAUACUUGGCCAAGAACACAAGAGAAAGAGAGUUUUGGGAAAAACCAAAUCAAGCCAAAUCUGAAAGGGAUUGGAGGACGGAAAUGUUGCUCACAAGGGUCCUAGCAACAAAAGCCUCCAACAAAUCUCACGGAUUUCGCAGCCAAAUGCAAAGAACAAAAAAUCCCCAAAAAUACCUCUGAAAAUCCCAAAAAGAUAAAACUUAGAUCUUGAGAUGGAGAAGCAAUUGAACGAAAUUGAUUCUUAGAUUACUCCACCAUAUCCGGUUACAAGACACUCCUAGGCACAAACAAAACUAAGAUGGCAAAAAGAUCAAAUCAAAGAUCCCUCAUCUCUCUCCAUCUCUCCCCCCUAAAUGCUCUCACAACCAAAAUGAGAAGUCCACCUCCCAACAACCCCCAAAGAGAUGUGGCUGCCCCAAUAGCCCACUCCUCAUAUAUAUAGACAUUUGGCAAAUGUCUAAAAUACCCUUACAUUAAGCAAAGAACCCAAAUACCCCCAAGGGUAAAAUCGUCCAACUUUUACCUCGUACAUCGGAUGGACCCGACACCUUCACGACUUAGCGUUAGUGCCACACAUCCUCCGACUUGACGCCGUCCAGCCGCACCAGACUCAUCCCCCCAUUUUUAAGGCCGAACCGAUCAAACCCUCUUGCAUACCCCGCAGGUGCGACUCAUCCCCGAUUUUGAGGCCAAACCUGUCAAACCCUCUUGCACACUCGGCAGGCAUGACUCACCCCCAGUUUUAAGGUUAAACCUGUCAAACCCUCUUGCACGCUGCACAUGACAUGACUCACCGAUGUUGACGCGUGUCCGACCUCCACAAAGCCUUCGACGCCUCCAAGUCUUUUGCUCCCGACUCCCGGGCCGCCUACUCGACUCACCUCCAUCCCGCUUGACUCGACCGAUGCCGUCUCCAUCCUGUUUGUGUACUCUUGCUUUUCCGUGCACCAUGUGGAUCACCCAUGACUUUGCAAGGACUGCUCGGGUCCCUCGGUCCAAGCCUACUCAUGUCCACCCUUCAUAGCCCUAGUACAUCGGCAUGAACCUUUCGCUUGACUUUCACCUCAUGCCAUCGACCGCCAUGUUGCAUCCUACACCUGCGCAUCACAAGCCAAGAGACAUAACACACAAGAUAUAUUUUACACACACCACACCACAACACAACACAACACAACACACACCUCCGGUUAGCCGUUAGUAUAAUCAAGCAAAAGAGAACUAAUUCAAGUGCCCAAAAGCUAAGUAAAAGUAAACACAAGGCAACUUGAAAUGAGAAGGGAUCAUGCACGCUCCAAACAAAAGAGUCUUGGUUCACAAAGAGGAGACAAAGGAUCAACAUAACCAAAGAGUCAAGCAAAAGACACAAGAUCUUCAUGAAUCCCAAAAACCAUCAAAGCCAUUUCAAAAAUUGUCAAACGCUCAACACAAUCAAAUCAAGGUUCAUAUCAACUUGAUUUCUCAAUCUCCCCCUUGAUGGUGUGUUGACAACAUUCAAGCACAAAGAAAUAGUUUGAGAGGCAAAAUUUAAAAAGCCAAGUAAAAGCCAAGAUUUAAAGUCAUUUGAAAUGAGAAGAACCAUAAAAUCCAAGUUGUGACACCAAUUAGGUAAGACUCUCAUCCAAGUGAUCAAAAAACACAUAAAGGCAAAGAUCAAAGUCACUCGGCAUGAGAAGCAUCACAAAGGCCAAAUCCACUUAGAAAGUCUCGGUCCCCAAAGACUUGGGCAACGACUCAACACAAUCGAGACAAAACACACAUGAUCCCUCAAGAAGAGGCAAAAAGGGUUCAACACCAAUCAUGUGAAGAUCGAAACACAUGAUCCCUCAAGAAGGGGCAGCAAGGGCUCAACACCAAUCAUGUAACGAUCAAAAGCUCAAACCAAACGCCGUUCCUCGGGAAGAGGUAAAAGCUCAACACAACCGGCAAAAGAGCAAAAGAGAGCACAAAACUCACAAGCUCCUGCUAAAAGCAUGCACUCCCCCUGAAAACAUGCCACAAUGAAAUGCAUGCACAAGAGCAAAAGAAUGCAUGCUCCCUCAAAUGCGAAACUCCCCAUUAAAUGCAAGACCCCCCCUUAAAUGCAAACAUCAAGAUUUGCAUGGGAGCACAAAAUGCAUGCCAUGGGGUGUACAACCUACCAAGCUUCUCAAAUAUAUCACAAAGCACUUACAAAGGCUACAAGUGAGAUAAUGCACAAGCAGGUAGAUUAUAAAGAGCAAUUGCAUCGCCAUCAAGAGGAUAUUAUGAUAUAAGCAAAAGACGAAGCAAGUUGUCAAGUUUUGCAGUUUAUAAAAGUAUCACCAUGAGCAAGCACAAAAACUAGGCCAUGAACCACUCAAGCAAGAAGUAAACUAGCCCACCAGAGCUCAUACAAGGAAGAUACAUUCUCAACAAGAGAUUAUCGCAAACACCCACAUAUGCAUCACAAGUCAUGUUUAAAGCUUGUUGAAACCAAGUGCCUACUUCUUUUGGUAGGCAUCAUGUAACAACUAAGCAAGCAAGAAUAUUACAUUAAGCACAAAAACUUGGUGAAUUACUGAAUUACUGACUUGUUCUUUAGCAUUAAGCACAAAUAUCUUUAGCAUUAAGCACAAAUAUCUUUCAUUCACAUUAACCAAGUCACAUGAAGUGCCUUUGCGGCACAAAGAAGCCAUGCUUCCCCAACGAAUGCAUCAUGGACUAAACAUUUGCGAUGAUACCUAGAUCAUAGACCCAAUUGCAAAGAACAUGAAUUCCAAGAAGAAGCUAAACAUAGAGCUAGCAUUCAAGCAAGAGCAAUGCAUAAAUAGGUAGCUAGUCAUGGGUGAUAAGCAUUUUAGAAUUCAUUAUUCAAGAUUAACAUUUGAUUCAGAAAAGCAUUUCGCUCAACAUGGUUAUAUGACAAUAUCAUCAAGAGCAUAUGUUGUACAUUGCUACACAAUCACCAACCAAUGCACUAGUUCACAAAUAGCAUAAGGAAAUGCUAAGGGUAUAUAUGGGAAGUUCAUCUAGUGCAAAGUGUACAAGGUGCAGUAUGAUACAAAUGCAAUGCUAAAAGAGACCGAGUUCAACUCAAAAUGAAGAAAGCUCUUGAGGGGUCAAACCAAUCUAGGAAAAGCUCCGUGGCAAAAGAAGAACCACCAAGGAUCCCAAUUGAGUACCAUAGAAAUGAUACCAAUUGAAGGAUCAAAAAUUGGUAUCACUUGAAGAAGAUGAACUCAAAUUGAAAAUGUGAUACCAAUUAAAAUAUCAAAAGCGGAUAUCAAAAACCAAAGAAAGCCCUGGUCCAAACUCUGCCUCGAAUGAAGCCGAACUCCCCCUCAAUCAAAGACAUCUUAGCAAAAGAAAAAACUAGGAAAAGAAUGGGCAAAAGAAAAACUCCAAAUCAAAAGGCAGAGAAAAUCCAAGAAAGGAGCAAAAAUGCAACCCAAAGACAAAGCAAGCCCAAAAACAUUAUAAAGCUCAAAUCAUGCCACACAAUGCAAUGAUGAUACCAAUGAGAGGAAUUAAAGCAUUGUAACAUGAUUCCACAUUUAUGAAUAAAAGAUUGGGCUAGCAAAUAUGUCAACAAGGUGCAGAUGAUCAUACUGAGAUACUAAGCUAAAAUGAUACCAAAUGAACAAAGUGCCAAUACCCAAUAUGAAGCCUAAGUUAAAGCAUGGCACGAUGUUCAUGUGGAUCAUCCACCAAGAUAUAUUAGGGUGCGUUUGGUUCUAAAGACGAAGUGGGAUGGGAUGGGACGAUCCCACUUCAUCCCGUGUUUGGUUGGAAGACAGGUGGGACGGGGACAUCCCUACGAGUGAAUAUACCCUCUAGAUCCGGGAUGACCCCAUCCCACCAAAAUGAGCGGACGGGGGCAUCCCACUUCGCCCCCGUCACGCGCUAGUCUGCUCCGUCACGGAGGGGUCCAACUUCGAUAAGGAAGAAGCAAUUUUGGAAGCACCAACAUCAAAGUGACAAGAUUGCGAGAAUCAAAAUACUUAGCACAAAUACUCCUGCAUCUUGUGGCCAAAACCUCAUUUUCAUAUUUGAGGCGGUCAAAAGUACCACAUGGAGCAUUUCUCAAAUUAUCCAUCUCCUUUUCAAUGCACUUAGCAUAUGUGGUACGCAAGAGAUCAUUUUCUUUCUCAAGGUUAGCACUCAUCUCAUUGUGCUUAACCAACUUGGUACUCAUAUCAUUGCGCAUUUGCUUCAAAGCUAAAACUUCACUUUCCAAUUCAAUGCAUGAUGUGCAAAUAAGUCCACAUGAACAAUCAUCAUUAUUCACAUCAAGUAGGAUAGCAUGAUUAUCACAAGAAGUAAGGCAAAUAUUAUCAUCAAGAAUCAGAGAGCACAUGCUACAAGGCAUAUACUUCAUUUCACCAUUCAGCCCUAGCAUGCUCGAGUUCAUCUACAAAUGUGGUGUGAGUCAAUUUUAAUUCAUUAAUUUCAACAAGAAAAGACUCACAUGAAGCACAUGGUAAAGAAGCAUUGGACUUCAACAAAGCAAUUUCAUCUCUAACCUUAUCAAGAUCAUUAUGCAAGGCACACAUGAAUUGCAUGGCAUAGAGGCAUUAGCUUUUGAUAAGUCAUUUUCAGAUUUUAAAGCAUCAUUAUCAAUGGAGAGAUCAUCAAUUAAUCUUCUACAAUAUUCAAGUUGCUUGUCACCAAGAAAAAUGUCUCUUUUUAGUUUCUCAUUUUCAAUAUGGAAGACAUCACAAGAUUUGCACGGAAAAGGCAAAUUCUUCUUAAGCUCAACAAUUGUCUCGCCAUGAGCACAGAGGCAAGUGAACAAACCAAUUAUACCUUGGGAGAGUUUACCUCUACUCAUCUUGUGAAGCUUAUGCCGAAGAUCAUCUUCUUGAUGUACCUCUUCCAUCAAAAGACACGUCAAAGCCAUCGCUUCAUCAUCCUUGUUAAGCUCAUCACACUUCUUUCUCCACUUGUGUUCAUCCCCCAAUGCACUCACCCUACCAUCAAAACAUGAGGACAAAGACACUCAAGAAGAAGAUCUUGGUGCCAUAGCUCAAAGCACUGGUUAAGAUUAGCAAACAUCAAGCUCAAAUCUCAAAAACCAAAUCCGCAAGCAAAACGUCCUUACACUUGUCGCCCCGUGGAUCACAAAGCCGAUUAAGGGGGUGUGAUCCUUAACCAAACUCUGAUACCAAUUGAAGGACCGGGACGGGCGACCAGAGAAGGGGGGUGAAUGGGAGCCUUUAAAAUUCUUUUCUAAGAACAAGGCCUAUAACCCGAUUGCCACCCUAAACGCACCUCACUUCUGAUUGCCGAGAUGACACAAGUCAACUCGUGAUAAGCUCACUCUAGGAACGAUUAGAAAACACUCAAAGCAUAGCGGAAACAAAAUAAUAAAGCAUGCGUUAAGAAACUCUACCAAAUUAACCUGUCAAAAGAGCUCAUGAAAAUAAACAAGUUAACUAGACCAAACAUGCAAGAGCUCAUGUACACAACUGUUGUUGUACUACUACUGUGCGUAUGUGCUGUUGUCUUCUAAACUCAAACUGAAAGAAUGCUCAAGCACACAAGCUAGUACACAUCAGCUAGCACGAAAGUUCGGAAACUCCCCAAAGAUCUCCGGAGAAUCCGCUACUUCUGAAGAAUCCACACAAAUCUUAGGAGAAUCCGCACCUACGGAGUUUCCAAAAAAUUCUCCGGAGAAUCCAUAAAAAUAUCUGGAAAUUUCUACAACUCCAAAAACAUCUUGCGUGAAGAAGUUGGAAAAAUUUGAAACUCAAUCAAACGACCGCCAAAAAUCGUAAAAUUUGAAGCGUAGGCUCACAACAACAUACCAAGGCUAUUCCCAAAGGCUCGCUUCAAAAAACCCAAGAAUUGGUCACUAGAUUCAAAGGAUUUGGAGAGGGGGACAAAGAGCUCAAAAAAACUCCACUAACUCAAUCUUGAAAAUGAGUCAAACGGGAUUUAAAACAAAUAAAACUACAGCUAUAUAUUCACAUAUACACGGUAAAUCUUUGUCCAAAAUAUCUCCCCAAGAAGAUCAAGAUUUCACCAUGAAUUUCAUAUACUUUGCCAAGAACACAAGAGAAAGAGAGUUUUGACAAAAACCAAAUCGAGCCAAAUCCGAGAGGGAUUGGAGGAGUGAAACACUUUAAAGUUGCUCACAAGGGUCCUAGCAACAAAAGCCUUCAACAAAUCUCACAGAAUUCGCAGCCAAAUGCGAAGAACAAAAAAUCCCCAAAAAUACCUUCAAAAAUCCCAAAAAGAUAAAACUUAGAUCUUGAGAUGGAGAAGCAAUUGACCGAAAUUGAUUCUUGGAUUACUCCACCAUGUCCGGUUACAAGCCACUCUUAGGCACAAACAAAGCUAAGAUGGCAAAAAAGAUCAAAUCAAAGAUCCCUUAUCUCUCUCUCUCCGUCUCUCUCCCCUAAAGGCUCUCACAACCCAAAUGAAAAGUUCACCUCCCAACAACACCCAAAGAGAUGUGGCUGCCCUAACAACCCACUCCUCAUAUAUAUAGAUAUUUGGCAAAUGUCCAAAAUGCCCUUACAUUAAGCAUAUAACCCAAAUACACCCCAGGGGUAAAAUCGUCCAACUUUUUCCUCGUACACCGGACAGACCCAUCGCCUUCAUGACUUACCUUCGC
This 6737-nucleotide long non-coding RNA is filed under the name Setaria viridis. RNAcentral's name for it is "long non-coding RNA (SVIR_LNC004788)". The record is from RNAcentral. Lineage: Eukaryota; Viridiplantae; Streptophyta; Magnoliopsida; Poales; Poaceae.